CGUGUAGGCGGCUCAUCAAGUCUGGUGUGAAAACGCAAGGCUUAACCUUGCGUAGGCGCUGGAAACUGGUGGGCUUGAGUUCCUGAGGGGAAGCUGGAAUUCCAGGUGUAGGGGUGAAAUCUGUAGAUAUCUGGAAGAACACCGGUGGCGAAGGCGAGCUUCUAUCAGAGGACUGACGCUGAGGCGCGAAAGCGUGGGGAGCAAACAGGAUUAGAUACCCUGGUAGUCCACGCUGUAAACGAUGUGCACUAGGCGUGGGGCCCGUACGGGUUCUGUGCCGUAGUUAACGUGUUAAGUGCACCGCCUGGGGAGUAUGCUCGCAAGGGUGAA
This 330-nucleotide ribosomal RNA is filed under the name uncultured bacterium. RNAcentral's name for it is "bacterial SSU rRNA". It matches the Rfam family "Bacterial small subunit ribosomal RNA", at positions 568 to 898 of the family's 1533-position model. The record is from RNAcentral.